AAUUAUAAGAAGAUAAGACAAUGCAAAAGAAAAUUUAGAGAAAUAAAUAAAAAUGGACCAACAGGAAUUCAGAAGGCACUGAAUCUCAGUAAAUGUAACCAGCCCGGCAAAAUGGAACUUCACAUGCUAGAAUUUUUUGCUUUAGAGACAAGCAGCUUUUCCAAACUUCCUUGAGCUCAGGGAUAAUCAUCACCCACUUGCAGUCUUCAGCCAGAUGAAUAGAUAGAAUAUGCAGAUGCUGGCACCUGGAGAAGACCUUUAUGUACCUGGACACAGACAGAUGGUGAUUUGAGGAAAAUGGAGUGUUUCUGUCUCCUUGGAGCUAGCUUUGAAUACAACCUUGUUUUCGUUUCACCUAAAUAAAUGGCCUCUUCCAAAUUGGUCAGCAACUAGGUAUAUGGGCCUAAGUGGCCAAUAGCAUUAAUAUCACGAUUUUUGUUUUGUUCUUUUCAGGCAGCGUCUUGUUAUAUAAUAGUUCAGGCUGGCCUUAAGCUCGUGAUGUAGCCGAGGAGGUCUUCAAACUCCUUAGCCAUCCUCCUGGCUCAGCCUCCUGCGUGCUGUCAUGCGCCACCAUACCUGGCCCAGUAUCAUUUUAACAGGUGCGAUGACAUAGAAUUUGGGCCAGAUUUCUAGCUAGAAUUUAAUCCGUUUGCUCUUGUUUCAUUUAUUUUCGUGAUUAACAUCUGUUCAUGACCAUUGAUGACCAGUUUUCUCUUCGUGCACGCUCUUGUGCGUGCAUAUUUUGUUUUUUGUUCUUGUUUUUUUCUGGGAUCAAACUCCGGACCUUG
Long non-coding RNA from Fukomys damarensis (Damara mole-rat), 788 nucleotides. RefSeq lists it as uncharacterized. Lineage: Eukaryota; Metazoa; Chordata; Mammalia; Rodentia; Bathyergidae. The record is from RefSeq and is a predicted model, not a curated record. The transcript is spliced from 3 exons.